GCCUCAGUGGUGUAAUGGUAGUAGCACGCGUCCCUAGUAUGGAUGAAAUGCUGGUUCGAUUCCUGCCUACGGCC
Parelaphostrongylus tenuis is the source of this 74-nucleotide non-coding RNA. The record is from the annotation of a GenBank genome assembly. Lineage: Eukaryota; Metazoa; Nematoda; Chromadorea; Rhabditida; Metastrongylidae.